GAUGAACGCUGGCGGCGUGCCUAAUACAUGCAAGUCGAGCGAACAGACGAGGAGCUUGCUCCUCUGACGUUAGCGGCGGACGGGUGAGUAACACGUGGAUAACCUACCUAUAAGACUGGGAUAACUUCGGGAAACCGGAGCUAAUACCGGAUAAUAUAUUGAACCGCAUGGUUCAAUAGUGAAAGACGGUUUUGCUGUCACUUAUAGAUGGAUCCGCGCCGCAUUAGCUAGUUGGUAAGGUAACGGCUUACCAAGGCAACGAUGCGUAGCCGACCUGAGAGGGGGAUCGGCCACACUGGAACGGAGCCACGGUCCAGACUCCUACGGGAGGCAGCAGUGGGGAAUCUUCGGCAAUGGGCGAAAGCCUGACGGAGCAACGCCGCGGGGGUGAUGAAGGUCUUCGAUUCGUAAAACUCUGUUAUUGGGGAAGAACAAAUGUGUAAGUAACAAUGAACGUCUUGACGGUACCAAAUCGGAAAGCCACGGCUAACUACGU
This 496-nucleotide ribosomal RNA is filed under the name uncultured bacterium. RNAcentral describes it as "partial 16S ribosomal RNA". It matches the Rfam family "Bacterial small subunit ribosomal RNA", at positions 28 to 506 of the family's 1533-position model. The record is from RNAcentral.